GAUGAACGCUAGCGGCAGGCCUAACACAUGCAAGUCGAGGGAGAAGCCCUUUCGGGGGCAGAAACCGGCGCACGGGUGCGUAACGCGUAUGCAACCUACCUUUCACAGGGGGAUAGCCCGAAGAAAUUUGGAUUAAUACCACAUAAUAUUAUUGGAUGGCAUCAUUUGAUAAUUAAAACUGCGGUGGUGAAAGAUGGGCAUGCGUCCUAUUAGCUAGUUGGAGUGGUAACGGCACCCCAAGGCUACGAUAGGUAGGGGUCCUGAGAGGGAGAUCCCCCACACUGGUACUGAGGCAGUGACCAGACUCGUACGGAAGGCAGCAGUAAGGAAGAUAGAAGAAUGGACGGAAGUCUGAACCAGCCAUGCCGGGUGCAGGAAGAAUGCGUUAUGGGUUGUAAACUGCUUGUAGAUGGGAAGAGUAAGGCGUACGGGUGCGUUGAUGACGGUACCAUAUGAAUAAGCAUCGGCUAACUCCGUG
Molecule: ribosomal RNA, 478 nt
Filed under: uncultured bacterium
Lineage: Bacteria
Description: partial 16S ribosomal RNA
Rfam family: Bacterial small subunit ribosomal RNA
Source: RNAcentral